This 460-nucleotide ribosomal RNA is filed under the name uncultured bacterium. Its description in RNAcentral is "partial 16S ribosomal RNA". It matches the Rfam family "Bacterial small subunit ribosomal RNA", at positions 338 to 795 of the family's 1533-position model. The record is from RNAcentral.
CCUACGGGAGGCUGCAGUGAGGAAUAUUGGUCAAUGGCCGGAAGGCUGAACCAGCCAAGCCGCGUGAAGGACGAAGGUGCCAAGCAUUGUAAACUUCUUUUGUCAAGGGACAAAAUCAGGCUCGAGAGCCUGACCGAGGGUACUUGAAGAAAAAGCAUCGGCUAACUCCGUGCCAGCAGCCGCGGUAAUACGGAGGAUCCGGGCGUUAUCCGGAUUUAUUGGGUUUAAAGGGAGCGUAGGUGGGUUGUUAAGUCAGUUGUGAAAGUUUGCGGCUCAACCGUAAAAUUGCAGUUGAAACUGGCAGUCUUGAGUAGAGGAGAGGUGUGCGGAAUGCGUGGUGGAGCGGUGAAAUGCAUAGAUAUCACGAAGAAAUCCGAGUGAGAAGGCAGCUCACUGGAGUGCAACUGACACUGAUGCACGAAAGUGUGGGUAUCAAACAGGAUUAGAUACCCGGGUAGUC